GGACUACAUUUGGGUGGCGUAUCUUCUGUACUAAGGCAAGCUCAUCCCCAAAUGCCUUGACUUUAUCUUCGUCGGUGAAUAAUUCUUCACCAAGUUUCUUAACAGCAACCUUAGUUCCACGCCACAGAGCAACACAAUACGUACCCUUUGUUAUGUUUACACUAUUACUAAAAUCAAGUUCUCUUGGAUCAAUUUCAUACUCUGGAAUUUCACGAACAUUUUCUACAUGCAUGGGAG
This 237-nucleotide unclassified non-coding RNA is filed under the name Hevea brasiliensis (rubber tree). Lineage: Eukaryota; Viridiplantae; Streptophyta; Magnoliopsida; Malpighiales; Euphorbiaceae. The record is from RNAcentral.